GACGAACGCUGGCGGCGUGCUUAACACAUGCAAGUCGAACGGUGAAGCGCCUUCCUUUUUGGUGGGUGUGGAUGAGUGGCGAACGGGUGAGUAACACGUGAGUAACCUGCCCCCUUCUUCUGGAUAACCGCAUGAAAGUGUGGCUAAUACGGGAUAUUCUGGGUCUGUCGCAUGAUGGGUCUGGGAAAGAUAUUGUUUCGGUGGGGGAUGGGCUCGCGGCCUAUCAGCUUGUUGGUGGGGUGAUGGCCUACCAAGGCGGUGACGGGUAGCCGGCCUGGGAGGGUGGACGGUCACACUGGGACUGAGACACGGCCCAGACUCCGACGGGAGGCAGCAGUGGGGAAUAUUGCACAAUGGGCGCAAGCCUGAUGCAGCGACGCCGCGUGAGGGAUGGAGGCCUUCGGGUUGUGAACCUCUUUCGCCAGUGAAGCAGGCCUGCCUCGUUUGUGGGUGGGUUGACGGUAGCUGGAUAAGAAGCGCCGGCUAACUACGUG
This 494-nucleotide ribosomal RNA is filed under the name uncultured bacterium. Its description in RNAcentral is "partial 16S ribosomal RNA". It matches the Rfam family "Bacterial small subunit ribosomal RNA", at positions 28 to 507 of the family's 1533-position model. The record is from RNAcentral.